RNAcentral lists this ribosomal RNA (396 nucleotides) under uncultured bacterium. RNAcentral describes it as "partial 16S ribosomal RNA". It matches the Rfam family "Bacterial small subunit ribosomal RNA", at positions 523 to 917 of the family's 1533-position model. The record is from RNAcentral.
AUACGUAGGGGGCGAGCGUUGUCCGGAAUGAUUGGGCGUAAAGGGCGCGUAGGCGGCCUGUUAAGUCUGGAGUGAAAGUCCUGUUUUCAAGAUGGGAAUUGCUUUGGAUACUGAUGGGCUUGAGUGCAGGAGAGGUUAUCGGAAUUCCCGGUGUAGCGGUGCAAUGCGUAGAGAUCGGGAGGAACACCAGUGGCGAAGGCGGGUAACUGGACUGCAACUGACGCUGAGGCGCGAAAGUGUGGGGAGCAAACAGGAUUAGAUACCCUGGUAGUCCACACUGUAAACGAUGAAUGCUAGGUGUAAGAGGUAUCGACCCCUUUUGUGCCGGAGUUAACACAAUAAGCAUUCCGCCUGGGGAGUACGGCCGCAAGGUUGAAACUCAAAGGAAUUGACGGG